GUAGGGAAUAUUGCACAAUGGAGGAAACUCUGAUGCAGCGACGCCGCGUGAGUGAUGAAGGCCUUCGGGUCGUAAAACUCUGUGAUAAGGGAAGAUGAUGACGGUACCUUAUCAGAAAAGACCGGCUAACUUCGUGCCAGCAGCCGCGGUAAUACGAGGGGUCUAAGCGUUGUUCGGAAUCACUGGGCGUAAAGCGGGUGUAGGUGGCUAUGCAAGUUGGAUGUGAAAGCCCCGGGCUCAACCCGGGAAGUGCAUCCAAAACUACGUAGCUUGAGUGCGGGAGAGAAAGGCAGAAUUCCUGGUGUAGUUGUGAAAUACGUAGAUAUCAGGAGGAACUCCGGUGGCGAAGGCGGCUACCUGGUCGAGUACUGACACUGAGACACGAAAGCAUGGGGAUCAAACAGGAUUAGAAACCCGUGUAGUCC
Molecule: ribosomal RNA, 425 nt
Filed under: uncultured bacterium
Lineage: Bacteria
Description: partial 16S ribosomal RNA
Rfam family: Bacterial small subunit ribosomal RNA
Source: RNAcentral